This 796-nucleotide long non-coding RNA is filed under the name Struthio camelus australis. RNAcentral's name for it is "lncRNA (ENSSCUG00000016555.1)". The record is from RNAcentral. Lineage: Eukaryota; Metazoa; Chordata; Aves; Struthioniformes; Struthionidae.
AUGUGGCCAGUAGCUCCUUCCUUAAUUACUGCUUCUUCUCAAGUUACAGCACCGGAAGAAUUACGCAGCGGUGCUGCCCGGCUGACGCUGGCUGCUCCAUGCAAGAAGCACGUCCUUUGCACGUGGUCGAAGCCGUGUCAGAGCAGCCGCGCAGGGGCUGCCUGGGCUGAUACACACAAUCCUUUCAUUGUGUCCAGCCAGUCUGGGGAAGGCUUCUGCGUUUUGUGUCAUCGGUCAAAACGUCAGCAUGGUUAUUUUGCCCACAGAGCAGCCCCCGAGCCGUACCUUGGAAGCAAGGUUUCAAACAUCUGGCUCCCUUCUUGCGACACGCUUAUCUCAUGCCGGUCUCCGAGGCUGAUGCUGGCUGUGUUGUUUCAGGAGUUCAGGCCCAACCGUUGCCUUUCAGAAGCUGACGACUCUGCCAACUGCCCGCCGCCUGCAACUCCUGCUUGCUGGCCUGGGGGCCUGGUCGUCGGCACGGGAAUAUUUCCAGGAUUGUUCCAAGCGGGGAAAAACCAGCCAGCUCCCACGCGAGCUGGGGAUGCUGGGAGGGAGGAGACUGAUGGAUGCUGCUGCAUGAUGGGCUGCCAGAAGCCACCUCUGACAACUCCUUCAUGCAAGCGCCUGGUUAUCGUGGUUUCGAUCUACUAAUCCUAUUUCGAAGCGAAUAAUUCAAGGGCCUCCUGUUCCUCUGCCCACCGCCUGCCAGGUAAGUGGGUUCCCAGAAGGCCGAUAAGAUGGGCCUGGGGGAGGUCUUGCCACCUCUGUGCCACAACAUCGCCUGAGGCUGUGACUC